RNAcentral lists this long non-coding RNA (376 nucleotides) under Homo sapiens (human). Its description in RNAcentral is "non-protein coding lnc-ERCC6L2-3:2". The record is from RNAcentral. Lineage: Eukaryota; Metazoa; Chordata; Mammalia; Primates; Hominidae.
AUUGAGGCAAAGUUCUGAUGACAUCAUCUGAGUGCCUAGAUCCAGCUGUGCCUGAAGGGGUUCAUUACAACUAAGAACCUACCGGGAGUUACUCUUCCCCUACAAGAUCCAGAAUGCCUUUUGGUUUCCUUUAAUGAAGCAGCAGCCUGACCAAGUCCUACCCACUGCUCUAAUACUGAGAUCUCCAGCUGCAGUGCACAAAAGGAAAGUGAACACAGGGAAAGCUGGGACUUUGUUGAGGGUCAUGGAGGAGUGGUUCCGCGGGAUGCCAGGGGUGUGGGAGCAGAGCCUUGGCAUUUGGAGCAGGUAGCCUGCAUGGUGAAAAGUGAUGGGAAUAGUGCUGCAUUCAGAUACAGGACGGACUGCAAUAGCAAAG